AGUGAACGCUGGCGGUAGGCCUAACACAUGCAAGUCGAACGGCAGCACAGUAAGAGCUUGCUCUUACGGGUGGCGAGUGGCGGACGGGUGAGGAAUACAUCGGAAUCUACUUUUUCGUGGGGGAUAACGUAGGGAAACUUACGCUAAUACCGCAUACGACCUACGGUUGAAAGCAGGGGAUCUUCGGACCUUGCGCGAUUGAAUGAGCCGAUGUCGGAUUAGCUAGUUGGCGGGGUAAAGGCCCACCAAGGCGACGAUCCGUAGCUGGUCUGAGAGGAUGAUCAGCCACACUGGAACUGAGACACGGUCCAGACUCCUACGGGAGGGAGCAGUGGGGAAUAUUGGACAAUGGGCGCAAGCCUGAUCCAGCCAUACCGCGUGGGUGAAGAAGGCCUUCGGGUUGUAAAGCCCUUUUGUUGGGAAAGAAAAGCAGCAGGUUAAUACCCCGCUGUUCUGACGGUACCCAAAGAAUAAGCACCGGCUAACUUCGUG
Molecule: ribosomal RNA, 492 nt
Filed under: uncultured bacterium
Lineage: Bacteria
Description: partial 16S ribosomal RNA
Rfam family: Bacterial small subunit ribosomal RNA
Source: RNAcentral